This 430-nucleotide ribosomal RNA is filed under the name uncultured bacterium. Its description in RNAcentral is "bacterial SSU rRNA". It matches the Rfam family "Archaeal small subunit ribosomal RNA", at positions 339 to 776 of the family's 1478-position model. The record is from RNAcentral.
GCGAGAAACCUUUGCAAUGUGCGCAAGCACGACAAGGUUAAUCCGAGUGUUUCCUGCUAAAGGAAUCUUUUGUUAGUUCUAAAACCACUGAUGAAUAAGAGGUGGGCAAGUUCUGGUGUCAGCCGCCGCGGUAAAACCAGCACCUCAAGUGGUCAGGAGGAUUAUUGGGCCUAAAGCAUCCGUAGCCGGUUCUGUAAGUUUUCGGUUAAAUCCACUAGCUUAACUAAUGGGCUGCCGAAAAUACUGCAGAACUAGGGAGUGGGAGAGGUAGACGGUACUCGGUAGGAAGGGGUAAAAUCCUUUGAUCUAUUGAUGACCACCUGUGGCGAAGGCGGUCUACCAGAACACGUUCGACGGUGAGGGAUGAAAGCUGGGGGAGCAAACCGGAUUAGAUACCCAAGUAGUCCCUGAGCGGGCUGGCAAGGCGCAU